RNAcentral lists this ribosomal RNA (440 nucleotides) under uncultured bacterium. RNAcentral's name for it is "partial 16S ribosomal RNA". It matches the Rfam family "Bacterial small subunit ribosomal RNA", at positions 338 to 795 of the family's 1533-position model. The record is from RNAcentral.
CCUACGGGAGGCAGCAGUAGGGAAUAUUGGUCAAUGGGGGAAACCCUGAAGCAGCAAAGUCGCGUGGAGGAUGAAGGCUCUAGGAGUGUAAACCCCUUUUGUUAGAGAAGAUUAUGACGGUAUCUAUCGAAUAAGCACCGGCUAACUCCGUGCCAGAAGCGGCGGCUAUACGGAGGGUGCAAGCGUUACUCGGAAUCACUGGGCGUGAAGAGGGCAUAGGCGGGUUAAUAAGUCAGAUGUGAAAUUCUGUAGCUUAACUACAGAACUGCAAUUGAAACUGUUACUCUGGAGUGUGGGAGAGGUAGGUGGAAUUCGUGGUGUAGGGGUAAAAUCCGUAGAGAUCAAGAGGAAUACUCAUUGCGAAGGCGACCUGCUGGAACAUUACUGACGCUGAUGCACGAAAGCGUGGGGAUCAAACAGGAUUAGAUACCCGAGUAGUC